AUGGGUAUUAAGCUCCACUACAGCACAGCUUACCAUCCGCAAAUAGAUGGUCAGAGCGAACGAGUAAAUCAAUGUUUGGAUCAGUAUCUUCGUUGUGCUGUACAAGACAAUCCUCGUCAUUGGCGUUGUUGGCUAUCCAUGGCAGAGUUCUGGUACAAUUCCAGUUUUCAUACUGCUCUUCAAUGCUCACCAUUCCAAGCCUUGUAUCACAUCGCCCCAAAUUUUGGAGGAAUGCCUAACCUUACCGUGUCCAAUGACUCGCCAGCUGCUAGUGUUGUUAUCGACUAUAAGGCACAGACUGAACUUUUGCGUGCUCAGCUGAUACGAGCCCAACAACGCAUGAAGAGCUAUGCUGACAAGAACAGGACUGAACGUCAGUUUCAACCUGGUGAUCAAGUUUUGCUGAAACUCCAACCUUAUGCCCAACAAACAGUGGUCAAUCGUCCAUAUCCCAAAUUAUCCUACAAGUAUUUCGGUCCCUAUACUGUUCUGGAGCGCAUUGGUGCUGUCGCAUAUAGACUACAAUUACCAGUUUCAGCUCAGGUACACCCAGUCUUUCAUGUGUCCCAAUUGAAGCCAUUUACUCCAAACUACACUCCUGUGUAUACAAAUAUUCCUGCCGUGCCGGAUUUGACAACAGUAGCACCGGUACCUGUUGCAAUCCUUGAUCGUCGGAUGGUAUGCAAGGGCAAUGCAGCAACACCUCAAGUUCUCAUUCAAUGGGCACAUGUUCCUCCAGAGUGUGCUACCUGGGAGGAUUACUACGUCGUCAAAAGCAGAUUUCCUGAAGCUCUUCUGUGGGACAAUGAGCAAGCUCAAGCGGGGGGCAAUGUCAUGCCUUCCUCCAGUUCGGCGGACAGCGAGUCGCCGGCUCCUGACUCCCUGACGAGUGGACCGGCGAACGACGAUGACGUGGACGAUGAAUAG
Molecule: ribosomal RNA, 927 nt
Filed under: Triticum aestivum (bread wheat)
Lineage: Eukaryota; Viridiplantae; Streptophyta; Magnoliopsida; Poales; Poaceae
Description: partial small subunit ribosomal RNA
Source: RNAcentral